RNAcentral lists this non-coding RNA (24 nucleotides) under Cricetulus griseus (Chinese hamster). Lineage: Eukaryota; Metazoa; Chordata; Mammalia; Rodentia; Cricetidae. The record is from RNAcentral.
UGGGCAGCUGGUGAUCGUUGGUCC